Molecule: microRNA precursor, 64 nt
Organism: Cercocebus atys (sooty mangabey)
Lineage: Eukaryota; Metazoa; Chordata; Mammalia; Primates; Cercopithecidae
Source: Ensembl
GAGCUCUGGGAGGGGCUGGGUUUGGCAGGACAGUAUUCGAGCCCUGUCUCCUCCCAUCUUCCAG